AUUACCGUCGUGUUCCAACCACUUGUGCUCGACGUCCCGCACAUCCUCGCUAAUUUCCUAUAGUCGUUAUCAGAGAAACGGAAUACCUCAGAAAGAGAUUACGGUGCUAUAAAUAACUCAGUCACUGAUCUGCACUCGCAUUUUGUGUGUACGUGAUAAAACGGACAUUUCGUUAAUUUAUGACGCGAAUACAUUUACCGGAGGUAAGUACGAAUAAAACAUCGCGCGAGGUCGAUUCAAUCCGUAGUAUAUCUGGAUCUGAAAUAAUUGACGAGCCACAGGCAACAAUGGAUUACGCUUGAUCCAGUUAUGGCCGGAAACUUGGUGACACGAUCUAUAGACGCGACAUUUAUCCGUCUGUUUGAUCAAUAACUUAUGUAACUGGGAACAAUGUCAAGGUCUGCUUCUCGAAUUUCUCCAAGUUCCCGCCAAGUGGAGUGUUUAGUAUCAUGCAUGCCGGAGGGCAUUGUAUUAGGGAAUGCUCAAGUGUGAAAUGUGCACCGACGUCAUUAUAUAGAGCAAGUUAUUCAAAUCAUCGGUAAGGUUUCGUUUUCCUCUACAAUGUAAAAGAAGCGUCAAGAAGCAGAAUGAUCACCCAUUAUCGAAGGUAAUCUCUACUAAAAGGGUAAUAAAUAUAUAUGUAUAUAUAUAUAAAGCGGCCGUACACACUUCGUAGCAUCACUUUUGCGCGCCUCGGAAUGUCUAAACAUCAAGAAGUAAAAUAACACGCUUCAACACGCUUCGUCUUUUUGCUACGUUUGCGCAGCAAAGACAAACAAGAUAAAAAAAAAAGAAGAAAAGGAUUUAAUCGACGUUCGAAAGCCAUUCAUAAGCGCGUUUAAUAAUUCUCUAGAGAAUAUUAAAGAUAAUUAGUCUCAUUAAAUAUGGUGAAUUUCUUGUCUACGGAAACGCUUGCGCUGCGAGCGUAAUAUCGUACCUUGAGC
Molecule: long non-coding RNA, 944 nt
Organism: Odontomachus brunneus
Lineage: Eukaryota; Metazoa; Arthropoda; Insecta; Hymenoptera; Formicidae
Exons: 3
Source: RefSeq, a predicted model, not a curated record